CUGGCACUGGUUAAAUUAUAAGAUACACUACAAUCUCGUUCCCUGACCUCUUGAAGGUUUUGUUGAUAAAGGAAAAACGUAAACAUACAAGUAAACAGGUUAUAAGACCCACACAAGCAAGGUUUUGCUGAACUGAAUAUACUGAAUUAUUACAACAACUAUUAUAAUUAAAGAAAUGCCGAUAUGAACAAGAACCUGGAAAAGAACAAUGUAGCUUUCUGGA
This 223-nucleotide long non-coding RNA is filed under the name Homo sapiens (human). Its description in RNAcentral is "HSALNT0121608". The record is from RNAcentral. Lineage: Eukaryota; Metazoa; Chordata; Mammalia; Primates; Hominidae.